RNAcentral lists this ribosomal RNA (698 nucleotides) under uncultured Lachnospiraceae bacterium. RNAcentral describes it as "bacterial SSU rRNA". It matches the Rfam family "Bacterial small subunit ribosomal RNA", at positions 28 to 726 of the family's 1533-position model. The record is from RNAcentral. Lineage: Bacteria; Bacillati; Bacillota; Clostridia; Lachnospirales; Lachnospiraceae.
GAUGAACGCUGGCGGCGUGCCUAACACAUGCAAGUCGAGCGAAGCACUUUGCUUAGAUUCUUCGGAUGAAGAGGGUUGUGACUGAGCGGCGGACGGGUGAGUAACGCGUGGGUAACCUGCCUCAUACAGGGGGAUAACAGUUAGAAAUGACUGCUAAUACCGCAUAAGACCACAGCGCCGCAUGGUGCGGGGGUAAAAACUCCGGUGGUAUGAGAUGGACCCGCGUCUGAUUAGCUAGUUGGUAAGGUAACGGCUUACCAAGGCGACGAUCAGUAGCCGACCUGAGAGGGUGACCGGCCACAUUGGGACUGAGACACGGCCCAAACUCCUACGGGAGGCAGCAGUGGGGAAUAUUGCACAAUGGGGGAAACCCUGAUGCAGCGACGCCGCGUGAGCGAAGAAAUAUUUCGGUAUGUAAAGCUCUAUCAGCAGGGAAGAAAAUGACGGUACCUGACUAAGAAGCACCGGCUAAAUACGUGCCAGCAGCCGCGGUAAUACGUAUGGUGCAAGCGUUAUCCGGAUUUACUGGGUGUAAAGGGAGCGUAGACGGAUGGGCAAGUCUGAUGUGAAAACCCGGGGCUCAACCCCGGGACUGCAUUGGAAACUGUUCAUCUAGAGUGCUGGAGAGGUAAGUGGAAUUCCUAGUGUAGCGGUGAAAUGCGUAGAUAUUAGGAGGAACACCAGUGGCGAAGGCGGCU